UGGUCAUUACCAAGGCUUUUAGGAUGCAGUUUCUCAUUUGCCGUGGACAUGACCACAAAACAUUUGCCCACCAGGUUUUCUUUCUGCUCCAUUGCUAGCGUUCAGCCUAUUGGGAACAUUU
Pteronotus mesoamericanus is the source of this 121-nucleotide small nucleolar RNA. RefSeq annotates it as small nucleolar RNA SNORA32. The record is from RefSeq and is a predicted model, not a curated record. NCBI's taxonomy places the organism in Eukaryota, Metazoa, Chordata, Mammalia, Chiroptera, Mormoopidae. The transcript has a single exon.